AUCUCGAGCAAUGCGAAAAAAAAUUUACUACAUGACACACGCUAAUUGGAUAAACGCCGAGAAGAUCGAAAUGUUUUAAAAAACACGUGUACCUAUUGAGCAACGGAAAACUCUAACAGGGACCCAUUUCAGUUACUUGAUGCAGGGAUCUAUUUUUAGAACGAAAGGAAAUUUCCAAUUAUAAAUAUUAUAAAAAUAGUUUACGCGACGACUGUAAACAGAUGAGGGUAAAUAACGCAAAUGGUAGCCAAUAAAAGGGUUGAGAACUCAUGGUUUUGGAAUAUAAUUGGGUUUUCCUUUGAAUUAAUUGGGUUAUUGAACCCUGCAAUGUGCAAUUGCAUUGGGUUUUUUAUUAUUUGUAUUGCGUGAUCACGCAAAUACGCAGCUUAUCUGGAGCUCUGGAAUAU
RNAcentral lists this long non-coding RNA (407 nucleotides) under Mytilus galloprovincialis (Mediterranean mussel). The record is from RNAcentral. Lineage: Eukaryota; Metazoa; Mollusca; Bivalvia; Mytilida; Mytilidae.